RNAcentral lists this transfer RNA (76 nucleotides) under bacterium. RNAcentral describes it as "tRNA-Asn". It matches the Rfam family "tRNA". From Rfam's summary of the family: Transfer RNA (tRNA) molecules are approximately 80 nucleotides in length. Their secondary structure includes four short double-helical elements and three loops (D, anti-codon, and T loops). The record is from RNAcentral.
UCCGCGAUAGCUCAGCAGGUAGAGCAAGUGACUGUUAAUCACUGGGUCCCUGGUUCGAACCCAGGUCGCGGAGCCA